Molecule: long non-coding RNA, 290 nt
Organism: Cylas formicarius (sweet potato weevil)
Lineage: Eukaryota; Metazoa; Arthropoda; Insecta; Coleoptera; Brentidae
Exons: 3
Source: RefSeq, a predicted model, not a curated record
CAACAGAUGUCAGUAAGAGAUACAUCUGACAUAGUGGCUUAUCAAAAUUUGCUAAUAAAAAUGGAAAAACUGGGAGUGACAGAUGACACGGCUACUUUAUUGGAGAAGAGUGGUCUGAGGUGUAAAGAAAGAGCCGAAGGGAAUAUGAAACAUGAUAAAAAUGCUGGCCGUUGUUAAGCUCUGAAGGAGCCAACGCCUCAGGAGAACUCUAGAAGAUCUGUAGAUAGUACCAUAAUAGACCCUUUGAUUGUCACUAAAAAUAAUUUACGAAUAAUAUAGCAUAAUUCGCA